GAAAAUUUGAACCAAAGUAACAGAUCCUAAUUACUAAUCAAGCUUUCAAAAAUUCAAACAUGUCGUAAAUGUUCAAUUUUUUUUAUUUUUUAAAAAAGAUGCUGAAGAUAAGAUUGGCUGAGUUAAAUAACUAGAGUAAUCCGUAACAAAGCUGCUAUAAGUAAAUCAACUGCAUGGACUUUGAAAAAUCAAUUAAAUCAGAACCCGUUAGAUUUGGACAACCCAGGACAAUUUUCAAACGUUGAAUUAUUUUCAAAAAGCAAAUAAAUUACUAUCCCGACAAACAAAAAAGAAAAAAAGGGGAAAAAGAAAUAAAAUAAAACCUGCGAAGAACAAGGAAAAUCUGAAAAGCUACAGUAAUUUCAGACACAAUUAAUAAAACAAGAUCGUCGGCGCAAAUCUUGCCAAUUUAGUGUAGCCGAGCCACGUUAGCUUCAAGCAACAUGAGCAGACAAAACGUUAAAAUACCUUCAACAAUUGAAAGAUUUUUGACAAAAAACCCCAAUAGGGCGCGCAGCACUAUGCCGAAUCCUACCUCAGGCACUCUCAUUUCAAAGUGCAUAGUUCUUCCGACCCAAAAAUCCAAAAUCAAAACCCUGAAGCUCUCAAUUCCAGACAUAUCAAUGUUGACGUGGGAAUACAACCAAAAAGGUAUCCUGUUGCCUUAUCCACCUGGCCUCUCGUUCGAUCGUCUCCUCACGUCUCUCAAAAAGCCCUUGCCACCACCCUUACGCACUUCUACCCUUUAGCCGGUCGCCUCACCACGUCCCCCGACGGCUCGAUCCACAUCGCCUGCAACGAUGCAGGGGUUGAAUUCCUCGCAGUGGACAACACGGGCGUCUCUGUAGACGAAAUUUUGUGCCCUGGCGAUGUCCCCGAUUCUGCCAAAGACCUGUUCACUUACGACAAGUUGCUAAACAUUCCAGGCCAUUAGCUGCAGUUCAGGUGACGAAACUGGCCGACGGUGUCUUCAUCGCUCCCUGUACGAACCACGCCGUCAUGGAUGGCUCAUCGUAUUGGUCCUUCGUCAAAACCUUCGCCGAGAUCAGCAGAGGGGCCCCAAUAUCCCACCCACCAUGCUACACACCGCAACACGCCACUCGACUCUCGGGUCGUGGUACCGUUCCCACCGGGCGGCCCGCCCGAGCACCCGCUCAGAAGCGACGGGCCUCUGAGAGAGCGGCAUUUCCAUUUCAACAGGGACGCCAUCUCGCGACUCAAACAGAGGGCAAACGAGGGAUAUUCAACGGGAGCGAAUGGUGGGAUUUCAUCCUUCCAAUCGCUUUGCGCCCUCAUCUGGCGGUCCAUCACCCGAGCUGGGCAACAGACAAACGCUAUUCUGGAUGUCGGUUAAUUGCCGGCACAGAUUGAACCCGACAUGGACCCACACUACUUUGGCAACGCGAUCAUGGGCUUGGAGAUUUCCGCUUCCGCGGACGAUCUCCUGACCAAGGACCUGAGUUGGGGCGCCAAGUUGAUCCACGAGUCAGUGGCGACCUACGACGAUUCCACGGUGCGACGGAAGGUGGCCGAAUGGGAAAGGAAGCCGCUGGUGACCCCGUUCGACAUCGCCAGAAAACCGACGAUUUUCGUGGUGAGCUCGCCGAGGUUCCCGAUCUACGACGCGGAUUUCGGGUGGGGGCGCCCUCUGGCGGUGAGGAGCGGGCGCAACAACAAGUUCCACGGCAAGAUAUCCGCGUAUCCCGCCAGGGAGGGCGAUGGUGGUGUGUGUUGGAGGUGGCACUAGAGCCCAACACUAUGGCACGGCUUGAGGCGGAUGAUGAGCUUGUGCAGUACUCUGCCGUGCCAAGGUAGAUUUACACAGGUAUGGACAGAACUUACAACUGGCCUCUGAUUGGCUCUCCAGCGGCCCCUUAACGUCAGCCAUUUUGGAUGUUUUGAUUAUUUUGAUUUAUUAUGUUCGGUUUAUCGUUUGUCAAAAUUUUGUGGGAUUUUUUGCACAAUUUUGGUUAUGGGAUAUUAAUUUUAGCGUUUAAACGCACAAACGUUUGAAUGUUAAUUUGAUUGUAAUUUAAUUAAAAAACGGGCCCCGUAACCUACGUCACGAGGUCAUGGGACACGUACUGAGGCUCAUGGGAAAUUUUCAACUUGUCCAUACCUGUGUAAAUCUACCUUGCUGCCGUGCUGAGGAAAAACGCCGUAUGAACUUCAGGGCGUUGCCAAAUUUUCUUAGAUAAAACACGAACCCCCCGGUGAACUUAUGAAUAUUUUCUUCCAAUUUUCAGAGAAUAUUGUUUGUGUUUUGAUCUAAAGCUCCUGAAAACUUCAAGGAAAAAUAUUCAUAGUUUCCUCAAAAAUAAACAUUUCAUCACAGUAAAUUUGGCAACAAUAGAAUGUUCAUACGGCGCUCUUCCUUUGCACGGCAGUACUGCCGUUCUAAGGCAUAGAGUACACAGAGUCGUACUCGUAAUGUAAGUGGGAGAGCUGGCGCCAUGUUCUGCUCGACGAGUCCGAGCCCGGGUGUGCGGGUCGAUACAUAUUCGAUCCAAAAUGGCGGUGUGGAAUAUGGCCGGGUCCCGUGUAUCGCAACCAUCGAUUAUGUAUCGAAAAAGGGACCCGGCGCCGCACAGGAAUCUCGGAAUUCGGGACCUGGAAAAUGCUUAAAAGUGGCGCCAACUCACCCACUUGCAUUACUACUCAAUGUACUCGAUGUUCUAGGGCAGAACGCCGUACGAUCCUUCAGACCUUGCCCACAUUUCUUUCAAGAAAAACCAAAUUUACUGAGAAAAUUUUCGAUCGAAUAAUAUACUGAAGUUGGAAAUAAGUCUUUAAAUGGCAUUUUUGUGUUCUGAAAACAUUUGUAAUGCAGAUCUCAAGAGUACAAAGGAAUACAUGAGAAUAAUGAAUAUUUCAUGAUCAGAAAUAUUUUAUGUAAAAAAGCUCGACAGCGCAAUGCAACAACCCGGGUUCUUGUGGGAAAGUCUCCAUUUCGAAGGAAAAACAUGUGCAUUGAUGACCAUGCAGUGCGAAAGCACGUAUCCCCGAUUUUUUCUUCGAACAUUUAUUUCCUUCGGGAAAACGAGUCGACUAAAUAACUUGAAAAUUCUUUGACUUAUCUCCACUAUUGGCGGAUAUUCCGCAGCUAAAAGCUACAAAUUGGAUUGUUUCUCCUCGAGAAAAUAAGAUUGGAGCGGACAUUUUAGGUACACUCCAAUUGAGGUACGAGGUUUCGCACUUUAGCCAUCAAAUU
This 3211-nucleotide long non-coding RNA is filed under the name Bemisia tabaci. RNAcentral describes it as "lncRNA ENSSWEETPG009901". Lineage: Eukaryota; Metazoa; Arthropoda; Insecta; Hemiptera; Aleyrodidae. The record is from RNAcentral.